GACGAACGCUGGCGGCGUGCUUAACACAUGCAAGUCGAACGGAAAGGCCCUGCUUGCGGGGUACUCGAGUGGGGAACGGGGGAGUAACACGCGGGUGAACUGCCCUCCACUUCGGGAUAAGCCUGGGAGACAGGGUCUAUUACAGGAUAGAAGACAUUCUGAGUGUGAUGGUUGGAUAGUUUUGUCGGUGUGGGAUGGGCGCGCGGCCUAUCAGCUUGUUGGUGGGGUAGUGGCCUACCAAGGCGGCGACGGGUAGCCGGCCUGAGAGGGUGGACGGCCACAUUGGGACUGAGAUACGGCCCAGACUCCUACGGGAGGCAGCAGUGGGGAAUAUUGCACAAUGGGCGCAAGCCUGAUGCAGCGACGCCGCGUGCGGGAUGACGGCCUUCGGGUUGUAAACUCCUUUCGCUAGGGACGAAGCUUUUGUGACGGUACCUAGUUAAGAAGCACCGGCUAACUACGUG
Molecule: ribosomal RNA, 464 nt
Filed under: uncultured bacterium
Lineage: Bacteria
Description: partial 16S ribosomal RNA
Rfam family: Bacterial small subunit ribosomal RNA
Source: RNAcentral